Alligator mississippiensis (American alligator) is the source of this 8890-nucleotide long non-coding RNA. RefSeq lists it as uncharacterized. The record is from RefSeq and is a predicted model, not a curated record. Lineage: Eukaryota; Metazoa; Chordata; Crocodylia; Alligatoridae. The transcript is spliced from 2 exons.
UGUUUUUAACACCAUGGCAGGGUUGUUGGUUGUAGCUGUUGUAUAACCUGCCCAACAUCUGAUUCACCAGGUACCUGCCUGAACUUACCAUUUACACAUCCCCUACCCUUUACCCCUCCCUUCCUUCUCUACCCAUUGUCUUCCUAACUUCCACGUAUUUACUUUUUCACAGACUGCCUAUUUUCUACCUUGGAGAACUCAUUACUACAGCAGUCUCUCAUUCUUACCUUUUGUAUUCCUUCACCCUUAUUUCCCCCUUGUUCCUCCUCUCCCCUCCUUUCUCUACCCAUUGAUUUCCUAACUUCCACCUAUUUAGAUUUUCACUGACCUGUCACACCUUUUUAGCUUCUUGCCUACCUCGGAGAUCUGAGAACACCAGCAGAGUCUCUCUAUGCCUGAAGAAGGGUGUUUGUGCCCCAAAACUUGGAAGAACUUUGUUCCAGCUACUCAGUUGGUCUUAUAAAACAUAUCACAUCUACCCAAACAACUGCCCUUCCUUUAACACUGUGGGUUUCUGUUUGAACUCUCUAGGUUAUCUUGCGAAUCAUGUUUGCCCACUUAACACUGCUAAUAUUGCGUGGCACCCCACAUCACUCUUGAAAGGAUCCUGUGGCGCCCUGGUUGAGUAUUAUCAAAAACAAUACCAUGUAGAAUGAAAAGAUUCUUCUUCUUCUGUGUAUUUAAUAAUUGUCACAAGUUAUUCAUCUUCAGCCAAAAUAACAGUAAAAGAGAAUCUGCUAGAGCUAGAAUUAGACCUGUGGUGGAGUACCUUUUGGGUGCUUGCCACUUUAAGGGCUGAAGCAGGCUGCAAGGCAGCCUGCAGGUGACUGCAGAGCCUAUCAGGUGGUCAUAUGACAGCCAGGAGGUCACCUGAUUGGAGCAGGGCUGAGCAGCUUCAGCAUAAGAGCAGGCCCUGAGGAGCAGAGCUAGCAGUUGUUGGAGGGAUGUUGCUGCUGAAGUAGUAUUGCCCAGUUGGAGCUCUUACUCUCUCAGGAACAUACUGGAGAUCAGGGUUGGAACUAUGGGGAUGGAGGAGAUUCCUAGGGACUCAAAGGGGUCCUAAGCUCUGAGGAAAUGGCUAUGGGCCUAAGCAAGAGCUAGGCCAACCUAGGAAGGGGGCUUAGAGAGUGUGGACCUACUGAGGGGUUAGGCCAGCCUUUGAAUAGAACUAGCGGUGACUUGGGCCAGGGCUUAGGUGAGCCCAAUGAAGUAAAGGGCUACAGGGUAUAAGCUCCUGGGGGCUCUAGGCAAGCCUGGUAUGAGAUGUAUGGGGGGACUCCUACUGAGUAGGGAGGUCAGCUGCUGCUACACUGAUGCCAGGGAAUCUUGACUGGUCAAAGCAAGGGAGCCAGGGCUGAAAGCCCAAAGGGCAAGUAAGCCCACCAUGACAGGCAGGCCAGGGCCGCAGAGAACUAUUGGCACCCUGACUAGCCUGGAGGUGGGGCCAGAGCCUAAAAGAGGCUGAAGGUCCCUUCGAUGGGGGAGACAUCAUUGCCAAAAAGAGGCUAGGUGUCAGCUGGCCAACAUACUGGUAUGAUGGAGGCUGAAGCUCAGCCUCCUGAUGGGAGACAUCCUACAAGGGGCCUGGGAGAGAUGGGGUCAGUGACCGAGGACAUGUGAUGAGAUGGAGGCUGCAACAGAGUGCCCAGGAGUGCGUAGCCCAGGGAGAACAUGUAGGAGCCCAAUGAGGGAAUGAAAGACCAGGGCAGGUAGGCCUGCAGUGGUCCUGGGGAAUGACCUAAAACUACACCCUUCUGGGGUUGGAUGGUGUGGUGGGACUGCCUGGGGCAGGGCAGUGUCCAGAAAAUAUCACACCUAAAACUAUUGGGUGCUGGAAAGCUUCAGCCCCCACUGCCUUGCGGGUGACCCGGUGGAGAGGGGAAAGGCUAGGGGAGCACACCCUGACAAAAAAGCACAGGGCCCAGGGUCCAGACAUAUUGACAGUCACCUGAGGCCUGAGUGGGCCAUAGGCUGAGAGUGAGGUCCAACCAUGUCAAUAGACACCUGAGGCCCAAGGAGCAUAAAGCCCAGAGGCCCCAGUGAGGGGCAUGUCUAAGGACACCUGUGGCCAAGUUUGGGCCAGAGGCAGAGUGUGCCCCAUCAAUGGGGCCAGGGGAGUUAUAGUGGAAGUGAUUUUUGGAUGCCAUCUGCAAGGCAUGGAACACAGUAGAGGGGAGGUUGGAGCAGUGUAUUAUGCCUUUGGCAUCAGGGCAUUAAAUGGGCAGCCUCCCAUACCUUUCCAUCCACUUUUAAUACAUCAAAGCACGGUGGGUGGACUACCCUAGGCAGGUGGGCGGGCCCUGGAGAUGACCCCUAUCACACAUGUCAUGUAGCAACCAAUUCUUAUUACACUCAAAUUAUUGUUUAUCAACUGUCCUGAUAAACGCAGUGUAACUUGUUUUAGCACAGCCAAAUGAAACUGAUAGCAGUAAUACAGUCCAUAAAAUUAAACAGAAAUAAUGCAAAGCAUUGUUGUGUGUUGCAAAUGGUGUAGAACAAAAACCACAUAUAAAACUAUUCAAAAGACUACAGAAACUUCUGACUCCAUAGCAUUCAGAAUGAAAUCCAUAUCUCAUCAGUUUAACUAGAUGAUAACAUCUCCAUGUAUGUAUGUAGCUUCCAGUCUUUUUAGUUGAAGCUUUUCUUUUCAAUGGAUCUGUAUGAACGUAUGUCCUAGUAUAGCUAACAUCUCACUUGUUUUGUUUCCACUCAAUUUCUGCCUGUUUUUCUCUCAGCAUGUUUUCCUUUCUAGUAUUCAUUUUUAUUUAUUCCAUCUUGGCUUUUAAAACUAGAUGUGCACUGAAUUCUGUUGUAUUUGAAAGUGUUUUUGUUUAAUCACUGAUCAAACUUAAAUAUUAUUUUAUAGUGAUAAAUGUAGCAGUUAGCCUGUAGCUGACUGAUACAGCCACAGCGUGGCAGGAGUGUUCUUUAAUUGUAGUUAUGACCCACUACAGCUUAAUGUUGACAAAAUGGAAAACCUUUAACAUUCUGGAUGAUGCUCCAGGGGACUGUCAUGCUACUUGGUCAAAAAAGGAAGAUGCAGACCCGAAGAGAGAAAAAAUACUGAGAACUAGAAAAGGAAAAAGGUGGAUUCAGGUCAACAAAAGAGUCACUGGAGGGUUGGAUAAUAGCCACAUCCUGAAAAACAUUUCUGCAUAAGGAGAGGGAAUAAGGUUCUUCAAAGAAUUUGAGAGAAACUCAUCUUCCACUUCUAAAUUAAUUAGAGAUCAAUAAACCUGAGCUAAAUUUUUUAAAGUUGUUUUCCAUCUCUUUUCUUAGUUUGCACAGCUCUAGCUCAAUGCAAUCUAGGUGAUAACAAUAUAUAAAUAUUUACUUCUAACCGUAACUCAGUGCUUUUUCAUGUCUUAUGUAAAAUGGAUGUAUUGGAUUCAUACCAGCUGUUAGAAGACAAAUGCUUGAAUUAGGGGAAAAAUCAAAUUGGUAACAGUGUUUGUUGACGACAAGGAAAUAGAACAAGUACUGUAUUUCACUUGGUAGUAGUUGGUACGUGCCCCACCAAUGUUGAAACAAAGCUCACAGUGCCAUUGGGGUUAAGGAAGAGACGUCAACCUGCCUAUGAUUAGUACUAUUUGUAGAGCACCACCAGCAGUGUACCAGCUCACUGAAGCUUAGCCAUUUUCAGCAGAAUACAUUUAUAUGAUUAAGACAGGGCAUUUUAUGAAUAAGGGCCACACAGAAGAAAACAGGAAGACCUUCCAGUGGGAUCAGUCAAGAGGCAGUUGAUGGCAUCAUUGGAAGAAUGUGUGAUGUAGGAACCCAUCAGCAAAUUUAGAGGCUUGACCUACUUCUGUCCAGAACCAGUCAAAUGGACCUUGAUACACUUGAUUUGACUUUUCUUUGAAAAAAAAAAAAAUAGGAGGAAAGGAAAAAAACACUGUUUAAGGCAGUGGUUCUUAAGGUUUUUAGCCUUGGGGUACCCCUCCAUAAUUUUUUGGAAUUUAGCAGCACAUAGUUGAGAACCACCAAGUUACAAUCUAGUUGGUGACAGGGACAGGACUUCAUUCCACCUGUGCCUUGCUUUUUCCAGCAUCUGAUCCUUUCCUGGUCUCUGCCUGCAGGAGCAAGCUCAGCCCCCACUGCGUAGCUGUUCCUCCAGUGACUGGAGCUACAUGCACCUGUGGGUCCAUAUUGUGGUCCCAGAAGCAGGGGAGAGACAGGUUGGGAAACAAGCCAGGCUGAAAAAUGACCCACAGCUCCAUAUCCAACUGUGUGCUUGCAUGGCAGAGCUCACUGCUCGGACUGUGGGGUGUGCUGGGGGGCAGGGAGCAACCUUGGGCACUGCUUGCUUGCAAGAUGCUGGGUGCCCGGUGGGAGGAACUAUUAUUUACCUCUACUUCCUGGGCCAGGCACCAUGACACCCAUAGAAGGACCUGGUGGUAGCACACCAGUUGAGACUUAUUGAAGAAAAACAGACCCACUUAAAACUGUGAAAUUGAAACCAGUGUUGCUUCUGGUUCAUUAUCACUCCUUCAAUUAGCAACACAAUGCAAAUAAUUUAUCUGUUCCCUUGAGAUGCAUUUGCAUUAGUUUCUAGGGGAAAUGAAUACAAAGACAAAUUCCUUACUGGGGCUGUACCUCUUGGAUUUUAAAGCAAAAAGAUAUGUGAGAAAGCAGCUUCUGUCAGUUGCAUGAUAUUUCCACAACCAGCAUCCCCCUAACUUCCACUAGUAUCAUUAUUCAGUAACAUGCAAGUUAAAAUCUGCUGUUAUUCCUGCCAGUCAGUAUCAAAAUUCUGAUCGAUAAAGAGGAUUAGCCCCCAAGAACAGGGCUGGGAUCCUAUCUUCCAGUGCAUCUGUAGAGUGCCUCCUGAAGGAGGUUGACACCUUUCAACAGUCAUCAUUUGACUCCAAAAUUGAAACAGUGAAACCUAAGACUGUCAACCGCUUACAGUGUUUAAUAGGCUUGCUUUCUGAGCAAAAAUACCUUGUCUCUCCAAAUAAUUGAAACCAGUAACUGAAGACAUAGACAGUUAAUAAGCCCAUCAGACUUCUAUACCAUCUCAAAAUUUAAAUUGUAGCUGUCUGCUUUGAGACUUACUUUUGAAAAUGCCAAAAAAGAACAAAAAGCCUGACACUUGCCUAAUGACUGCUUUUUUAGUUUUGCUAGUAGCAGAGCCAUCAUAGUGAAAUUCAGAAUUUCAUUAGUUUUUGUUGUUCAUUCAGAUGUCAUUUAUGUAAUUAGUUAUUUUUUCUCUUUUGCCUCCUGCUUGUUUAGCUUGCUAUUUUAGGAUUAAAGUGGAAAGUGUUACACAAACCAAAAUGGAGGAUUAUAAACAUUAACCUUCCAUCCCUCACAUCAUCUUCCCCUCCCUUUGGAAAGCUCUGAAGGAAGACUCUAAUAGAUUUUAAUAUAAUAAUGACUGUUGAAUCAUGUCAAAUUGAAAGUACCUAUGGGGCAGAUUACAACACACCUGCCCUUUCCAUUUUAAUCUUAAAUCAGUUUUUCCAGCCCACUGAAAAGCUACCUUAAUACAGCAAAAUACUGAAUACAAAAUUCAACCUUGCAAGUUUAUUUUAGUAUAAUAAUACUUUGGCAUUUCAGACAGUUUAGCUUACACCACAGUCCAAGGAUAUCUUUCGAGUUUACUAGACUAAUAUAUCCAUCAUAUCCCAAGCUAAGCCCUAUUAGAGACAUUUCUCUGUAUUCCAAGUCAGAAUAUGUUUAUUCAGUUUCAGUUUUAUUAUGUACUUUUUCCCAUUGCCCUGGAGCUUUGGAAAAAACAUUCCCUCAAUAGGUAGUUUCACUUCACUAAUAUCCAGGCUACUCAAGUGGUAUUACAAUUUUAACUUUGUUUCUCUGUAAAAAAGUGACCAAGACAGAGCGAUCAAGAAACACCCACAAAAGAUAAAGAACCCCUUCAAAAUAGAUGUUUCAGCCAUUUUUAAAUUAAAAAAAUAUACACAAUCUUAUUUCUCCAGUUAGGUAUCUAUAAAGGGCUUUUUAUGCUUUAAAAAAAGAAAAUAAAAUGGUUGCCUUUAGCUGAGCAUGUUUCCUUUUGACCUGUUGUCAUAGUCCAUUUUAGACAGAACUGAUUUCUAAAAAGCAGGGAAACAAAACUCUUUAAAAUGGGGAUAAUUCUUACCAUUCUUGUAAGGCACUUGCAAAUUAUUUAUGCCAGCUACAUAGCUAAUGAUCUUUACAUAACAGAACUAGGAAGAGGGAAAAAAAACAAACUCUUAUCUUUUUCUCCAUAGACUUCACUGAUGGAUAAACUGGAGCUAGUAGGAAAAGUCCAGAUCCAAGAGACCUUAGCAUCUGGAGUCCGACACGAGCGUCACAAUUCCACAUAAAUCCAAAACUGAAAUUCUGAAAAUCCCCAUUCAACCAUGGGUAAUUCUGGAAGAACCUAUCCUACAUUUUGUCCUUAAAUCCCUGGUCUAUUGGUUGUGUUUCCUUAUUUGCCUAGAACUGCCCCCAUCUUAAAAAGGUCAUGUAAUCCUCAAAGAAUCCAGAAAAUAAAUAUUCCAUCUCUGCUCAACACCUUGUGCUCUCCUUUUAGGCAUAAUCUUCCUUCAGUGUUCUUAUUUUUUUCCUCUUAAGGAGGAUUCUUCUGUUGUUCUGUAACUGCUAGUCAUUUAACAUGCAGCUGCUGCUUCAGGUUCUUCCACAGAGUUACAAAAAUGUAACACCCAUCCCUUUAGUUCAGUGGGACAAAGCCAAGAGCCCUGCUUAGCAAGACUACUUUUUAUCUGAGCUAUUUUCAGAUUUGGAGUAGAGCUUUAAAGUUGAUUCACUCAUUACUACCCUGGCAACCCAUCUGAACAAGACUAAGCCCAACCUUAUUUCUUUUCCUAUGCAGAGGGAGAGCAUAUGUGGGGGCAGGAUUAAAGCUGCACGAUCCUGAUCCAUGCAGAGGCCUUUAACAACUUUCAUGUUGCAGCAACUGUUGUGAAGACUGGAAAAGACUUGUGACUGAGGACUGACUUAACAAACUGUUUUUUCAUUUAGAAAAUUUUGAGGCUAUAAUGGGGAAGCUCAAAACAGCCUAUAACUUUGUCAUUUCUGGCCUGAUUUGGAUGAUACUUCAAGGAAUGGCAGCCCCUUCUGAGGACAUGAAGCCUGCCAAGUUUCAAGAAGAUAGGUACAGGGGUUUCAGGGAAAUUGCACCUCAAAUUCCUAAAAGCAAAAAAUUCAUGUCACGUGUAUAUGUUAAGCCACAGCAGGGUCCAAACUGCAGAGGUGGUACCCCUGCUGAGGCAACAAAGCCUGCCAAGUUUCAAGGAGAUAGGUGCAGGCGUUUGGGGGAAACUGCACCUCAAGCUGCAGACGAGCAAAACUUGUGACAUGGGUGACACUGUGCGUUAAGGUGCAGCAGGGUCAAAGCUGCAGGCUUGCAAGGCCCUGCUGUGGCCACAACGCCUGCCAGCUUUCAAGAUGGGUGCAGGGGGUUCUGGGGCCCUGCACCUUUGGCUGCUGACAGGCAAAACUCGUGAGAUGAAUAGGUGACACUGUGUGCGCGCUAAGGUGAACCCUCACUCAACUUGAUACCAAGGCAGAAAGCAGGGCAGUUCAAACAAUGCUGCCUUUUAUGCAGUUUUUCCAUCCUUCCCCCAGAGCACUGGGAUAGGAAGGGACCUCAGGAAAGGAUGACAGUCACUGGCCAGCUACACAGUCAAUAAUGAGAGCAGUCCUUCCCCCACUCUUUAAUUUAGUUUCUGUUUCCCUGCAAGCAAGCUCAGCUUGAGCUUUGAAACAUUUCGACUUGCCUCAUUUAAUUUCAAGGCUGUUUUGAAACUCUCUGCUUCGUUUUGAUUUUGCUGUUUCAAGCUCGAAAUGAGUUGAAACAGUGACAAAAAGAAACUGCAGGAGAAAUUUCACACAACCCUACCAAUCAAGAUCUCUUCUCCUUCAGACCAUCUGCCUGCCUCAGAGAACUGUUUAGCUUCUUGAUAACAAUGUAUCAAUUUUAUAUUGUUCCUUCCCUACUUAACCAAGAGCAAAAGAAACAAUUCAGCUCAUUACUAGCUUUCCCUUCAUGGGUAAAUUAAAACAGUGACACAAGUCUUAAUUGCAGAAAACCUACUUUCAUGUUUGGACAACUGUAACUAGACUCCACUUUUCCAUAUUAAAUUUCCAAAGUUUCAUAUUUAAAUUAAAGUGCACUUCCAAUUACAAGCAAGACUCUUAUUCUUUCAGGCACUGAUCACACAGGAAAACACAGAAUUAUUACAUAAUUUAGCUGUAACAGCAAAUAUUUCCUGUGUGUAGAGUAAGGGCAGGAGUGGUGGGGAGAAGUGUGACCUAUAGAUGGUCUACCCAGUGACAUUUUUAAAGGGAUGGGCAGUUUCAGCACUGAUAUUUUCCUUAAAAUAAAGUUACUGUCCUAUAACAUUAAACUGUGUUUGUAAUAAAGCUACAAUAAAAAAAAACUUAAAACAUUUAAGAUUAAAAAAACCCAACUUUUUUUUCAACUAUUUGGUUGGUCUAAUAAAACAUCUCACAUCUACCCAAAGAACCUUGUCUGCCUAUGUCCUUAGACCAACACAGCUAUAACCAUCAACUCUAAAACAUUUACAAAGUUCUAGAAGCGUUUAACUGGGCUCCGAGACAAGAUUUUUCCAUACACUGCACCAGCAUUACAUCACUGCUGAAUUUCACAGCACCACUACGUGCCCAUUUCAAGAAAGAAAAACAAGAGCUGUUGCAGAAAAUGUUAAGGCACCCAGGCAUGACAAACUUUUAGCUGUACCAUAUUUUUGGAUGACAAGCUGAUUGAAAAGAAAUUUGCAAUAUUUAGGGGGUUACAUAAUGUAAUUAAAGUUUACCUGUCACGGACACAUUUAGCACACAUGGAACCACCAUAAGCCCUGCUAACGUGCUUCUUUGUUUUGGACAGUCUCAUAAGGACUUUAGGACGUACAGCACGAAC